GGUCCUAAACUUGCCGCUGUUUUUAAUUAAAAUUACACAUGCUAGCAUCCGCACACCAGUGAAUAAGCCCUAAAGUAAUAACGGAGCAGGUAUCAGGCACGACCUUCAGCCCAAAACACCUAGCCACGCCACACCCCCACGGGAACUCAGCAGUGAUAAACAUUAGGCCAUGAGUAAACACCCAAUAAAGCUCGACCUAGUUAUAAUGAUCAGGGCCGGCCAAUCUCGUGCCAGCCGCCGCGGUUAUACGAGAGGCCCAAACCAGCACCCAACGGCGUAAAUUGUGACUAGAAUAACUAAGCUACCCAUAAAGGGAAAAACCAAAACCUAACCGUAAAAUUAAGGUAAAAUGAAUCCCCUUUACCCACAGCAAUUUGAACUCACGAAAGCUAAGAAACAAACUAGGAUUAGAUACCCUACUAUGCUUAGACAUAAACAAGACCCCAUUCAACGAAAAGUCCGCCCGAGAACUACAAGCGAAAAGCUUGAAACUCAAAAGACUUGGCGGUGCCCCACACCCGACUUAGAGGAGCCUGUCCUAUAAUCGAUGAUCCACGAUAAACCCAACCGCCCUUUGCCCCACCAGCCUAUAUACCGCCGUCGCAAAUCUACCUCACAAGAGAAAAAACGUAGGUUAAAUAGUCCAACACUAAAACGUCAGGUCAAGGUGUAGCUAAUAGGACGGAAGAGAUGGGCUACAUUCUUUAACACUAAAGAACACAGAAAGAACUAUGA
RNAcentral lists this ribosomal RNA (735 nucleotides) under Tropidurus sp. 2 ALGC-2018. RNAcentral describes it as "partial 12S ribosomal RNA". It matches the Rfam family "Bacterial small subunit ribosomal RNA", at positions 10 to 1266 of the family's 1533-position model. The record is from RNAcentral. Lineage: Eukaryota; Metazoa; Chordata; Lepidosauria; Squamata; Tropiduridae.